AGAGUUUGAUCAUGGCUCAGGAUAAACGCUGGCGGCGUGCCUAACACAUGCAAGUCGAACGCCCUGGUGCUCUUCGGAGCGCGAGGGAGUGGCGGACGGGUGAGUAACACAUGGGUGACCUACCCCACAGUGAGGAAUACCGGCGAGAAAUCGCCGACAAGACCGCAUAGGCUUUCUGGGGUGGAACCGAGAGAGCAAAGUCGCAAGACGCUGAGGGAUGGGCCUGUGGCCGAUUAGCUGGUUGGUGGGGUAACGGCUCACCAAGGCGACGAUCGGUAGCUGGUCUGAGAGGACGAUCAGCCACACUGGGAUUGAGAACGGCCCAGACUCCUACGGGGGGCAGCAGUGAGGAAUUUUCCGCAAUGGAGGCAACUCUGACGGAGCAACGCCGCGUGCAGGAGGACGCUUUUCGGAGUGUAAACUGCUUUUCUGUGGGACGAGCAAGGACGGUACCACAGGAAGAAGCCCCGGCUAACUACGUGCCAGCAGCCGCGGUAAUACGUAGGGGGCGAGCGUUGUCCGGAGUUACUGGGCGUAAAGGGCACGCAGGCGGUGCGGCGCGUUUCGCGUGACAGCGGAGGGCUUACCUCUCCGAGGAUGCGAAAGACGGCGGCACUUGAGGGCCAGAGAGGGACACGGAAUUCCGGGUGGAGUGGUGAAAUGCGUAGAGAUCCGGAGGAACACCGAAGGCGAAGGCAGUGUCCUGGCUGGUGACUGACGCUGAGGUGCGAAAGCUAGGGGAGCGAACGGGAUUAGAUACCCCAGUAGUCC
Molecule: ribosomal RNA, 771 nt
Filed under: uncultured bacterium
Lineage: Bacteria
Description: bacterial SSU rRNA
Rfam family: Bacterial small subunit ribosomal RNA
Source: RNAcentral